UAAACAGAUUGGACGAUUAGCAAUGUAAAGAAAUCUUUAGUCGGCUUUAAGCUCUCGUAGAAGAUAGUACUAAUCGCAAUACGUGGUGUCGAUUAAAGUGAUUUAAAAAUUUCUUAAAGGUUCGUUUCUGUUAUUAUGAUAUAAUUACCACUGUGACACUCGAACUUGGACACUUUUGGACAUAUUAGUGUAAAAUUAUAACUCCUUGAGGCAUUGUUUUGCACCGUUCCAUUAAAAGUUCAAAGUGUAUUUCACAAAUUUUCAAAGGACUUUUAUACUAUCCUCUCCUGUCAAGGACGAUGACUACGAGGGAUCGAAGUCAUGUAUGUACAUAAGUGGUAGUGGUUUUCGAGUUGAGACCCCCGAGACGGCACUUACACGGUCAGUCAAUUUGCGUAAUGAAGCAACGAAAGCUUGAACUAGUCGAGAGCCAAUUACGUUUGAGGAGAACUGCCAGUCGAACCUUUUGCUUGCUCCUGGAACCUUUUUGCCUGAAAAGUUUGACCAAAUGGUUUCCAGAAGAAAAGGCGAAGAUUUCAGUCUAAGGUUCGUCCGCACAUUAUAUUGCAGACCCUUGCAGUUCGUCCGCAGUUAUAUCGUGGUAGUGUUGGAAUAGGUGGUGUGCCGCCUGUGCAAUGGUGGUGGUAGGGUAAGCACAAACGAUACUCAUAGGGGUAACCAAACCCUUCCAACGAAAAGGGUCAUUAUCCUCGUGAUUACAAAUUUGUGGACCUGCCGAGGUAGCUUCGUUUAUGAUCGCAAAGCGGAAAGAGGAAAGAGGAUCAUCGAUGGACUAGAAACGGAUACGUUUUUACUGCGUGUCGUGAUAUACGUACGGACAAAGAAACAGACAGAGGGAGAGAGAGAGAGAGAGAGAGAGAGAGAGAAGGACAAAAUGAAAGACAAAGAGAGAAAGAGAGAAGGUCCGUAGUGGCUUUUGAAUGUGAGUAUUGUACGUUUUACCAAUGGAUUCCGAGAUAUAUUGUCUCUCGAAUGAGUGACGUCGUAUUGUGUGGUGUGCCAUACACGCGGGGUAGUCGUCGUUGUUGAUUGAAAAUGCAUGCAAUCGUCGCUUCGUGAAGAUCGUUCGGGUAUA
This is a long non-coding RNA of Vespa velutina, 1096 nucleotides long. RefSeq lists it as uncharacterized. NCBI's taxonomy places the organism in Eukaryota, Metazoa, Arthropoda, Insecta, Hymenoptera, Vespidae. The record is from RefSeq and is a predicted model, not a curated record. The transcript has 3 exons.